Molecule: long non-coding RNA, 404 nt
Filed under: Elaeis guineensis (African oil palm)
Lineage: Eukaryota; Viridiplantae; Streptophyta; Magnoliopsida; Arecales; Arecaceae
Description: long non-coding RNA (EGUI_LNC056943)
Source: RNAcentral
AUCUUCAUCAUAAGCUUUUAUCUUCUAAUGAACUCCGUUGUUAUGAUGAAGUCCUUAGGACUAUUUAAGUUCGAUAAAAAGAGGAUUUAUCGAUUAGUCCUUAAAACUGUUCACGACCAAAUGAUAAGCUGUUAAUAAGGACGACAGCUUCUAUCGAGCAUAGGUCGCUGUAGGCCAUAUGGGUUGAUUGUCCUCUUAACCAAAGAGUGUGGAGACACUGGUAUGGCAUACAGGUGAGAUGUAAGGGUACAUCAUCAUUGAACAUGACCAACUCCAGAGUAUUCUGCUGUCGAGAAUGUCUUUGAUGGGAUAUAGGUAUAAGUGUCCCUUAGACUUGAGAUCGCCUCAGUGACUUGCAAGCAACUCACUGUGCUUUGGUACUGGACUAACUAAAUUUCUAAUUC